This is a long non-coding RNA of Rosa chinensis, 1886 nucleotides long. RefSeq lists it as uncharacterized. NCBI's taxonomy places the organism in Eukaryota, Viridiplantae, Streptophyta, Magnoliopsida, Rosales, Rosaceae. The record is from RefSeq and is a predicted model, not a curated record. The transcript is spliced from 4 exons.
UUCUUUGUUUUCACUGUCUUUAACCAAAACCCAGACAUAACACGAACUCGGUGCUUCUGCCAAGUCAAAUCAGAGAUGGGUCUGAAGAUGGAGUGUCGAAUCAGAGAGGGGUCUGAAGAUGGAAUGCGAUUUGGGUCUUCAAGUAGAAGGAAUUUCUCAACACCUGAAGCUUGAAAUUUUCUGUAUUGCUUCUUCCUGUGAGAAAUUGGGAAUGUUGACUGGAGCUUUGCAUGAUCCAAUCUAAAGACUCCGGCGCUUCGUGGGUGAGGCCAGAUCCAUUUUAUCACCUAAUUCAGUUGUGAAUUGACAACUCUAUGAAGUGGAGUCCAGCAGAUUUUGACAAGAGGCUAAUAUAUUUGGCUUAUGCAUGAUUCCAUUGUCUGCUAUAGCCACCAUUCAUUUUUUUCUUCUUUUGCUUUUGCUUUGCACUUUGUCAUCUUCUGCAACUAUCUAGAGCACUUUGUUAAUCAAGCUCUUUUGUUUUAUGCAUAGCUUAAUUAAUCUAUCUCAUGGCCUGCACAUCACCAGAGCACUCGUUCUUUGUUUUUUUCUUUAUACAUAUAUAUAUAUAUAUAUAUAUAUAUAUAUUGCUUUAUGCUUUGUCAAGUUCUGGGAUGGUUUGGAUCACAUUGACCACACUUAAAUUAAAGCUCCAUGCCCAGAUAAAAGUGCCACCGCCAAGACUUUUCUCAUUUGGCUUUUAUAUUGGCACCGCAUCGAACCUUUUUGGAACACAAAUAUUUCAAAGCUGCUGCACAUAAUUGAAUUUUGAAGUUUGUUUAGUCAAGUCCACCGUAAAUUUUCAUUUUUCUUUCUUCCCUUGACACACUGCACCCACAAACACAUACUUGUCACCUCAUGAGAUCAAGUCUAGAAUGUUUCAAUUGAUUGUCUUGGCCUUUUGCAAAUAUAAGAACCUGUGCAUCAGGUUUGUUUUGGAAUUGGCUGCUACCAAGUGUGUGUGCUUAAUUUUUGACAACUUGAGGCUCGCAUUGCAAUUCCACUGCCCAGCUUCUUUCUUACUUGUCAUCUUUUAGUGUUAAAAGCCUCAGACCCUUGGAAUUGGAUGCUUCAAAGCUUGUAUUUAAUUUUAACAAGUUUGUUAACUGUGCAUGUUCAAAACGAACCAGGUGAUAGUGGUCACAGCAGUGUUGGAAGUCUCGAAGCUUUAUUUUAAGGAGUUCCCUUCUUUUUAUCAUCAUUUUUAAUUUGAACCAAGACCCCUAUGAAAGCAUGGCCUGGAUGGUGAUUCACACGGGGUCCUCUGCCAGUUUCUGGAUGUAUUAACCCAAACUUAAGUCUUGAGGACUAUUUCGGCACCCAAAGGCACGCCGAGUCAAAGCUCUAAAACAGUAUUGAUACCGUAAGGCACCACCACUGGAGCUUCGAUAGUAGUUUCAACACCCUAAGGCACGCCGUGCUGGAGCUCAACGACAAUAUCGACACCUUAAGGCACGUCGUGUCGGAGCAUGAUAUUGAUACUCUACGGUAUCGCUGGAGGCCUGCAUCAUUUGAGAAUAGCAAAGGAAAAGGUGCACAUCGGUGGUGAAAGUCUCACCCUCUUUUUCCUUGCUUUCUUCCUCUCCUUGGCUGCUAUCCUCUGCUUCUUCACAGUCCUCUUCACGCUGCUAUCCUCCUCACGUUCGUCCCCCCUUUUUUUUUCUUUAUGCAGUGCUUUUUAUAUUGCACCGAUCAUGAGUUUGGUUUGUAUAAAACAUAGAGUUUUAGAGUUCAACUUGGAGUGAACUACUUGGGGAACUUGUAUUCCGUGAAGACUACAACUCUUGUAUUUUGUAGUUGCUUUGUAAUCUAUAUUUUGACAAAACAAGAAGUCUGACGUCUUGUAAAAAUCCAACAGACCAGCUUAAUGACUCUUGUGCUUUUUC